GACGAACGCUGGCGGCGUGCUUAACACAUGCAAGUCGAACGGAAAGGCCCUGCUUUUGUGGGGUGCUCGAGUGGCGAACGGGUGAGUAACACGUGAGUAACCUGCCCUUGACUUUGGGAUAACUUCAGGAAACUGGGGCUAAUACCGGAUAGGAGCUCCUGCUGCAUGGUGGGGGUUGGAAAGUUUCGGCGGUUGGGGAUGGACUCGCGGCUUAUCAGCUUGUUGGUGGUGUAGUGGCUUACCAAGGCUUUGACGGGUAGCCGGCCUGAGAGGGUGACCGGCCACAUUGGGACUGAGAUACGGCCCAGACUCCUACGGUAGGCAGCAGUGGGGAAUAUUGCACAAUGGGCGGAAGCCUGAUGCAGCAACGCCGCGUGCGGGAUGACGGCCUUCGGGUUGUAAACCGCUUUCGCCUGUGACGAAGCGUGAGUGACGGUAAUGUGUAAAGAAGCACCGGCUAACUACGUG
RNAcentral lists this ribosomal RNA (468 nucleotides) under uncultured bacterium. RNAcentral describes it as "partial 16S ribosomal RNA". It matches the Rfam family "Bacterial small subunit ribosomal RNA", at positions 28 to 507 of the family's 1533-position model. The record is from RNAcentral.